GCAGGUGACGUUCAACCAAAUGCACCCCUCUGGUUGUGCAUCUACUUAGCUCCUCUGUCUCUGCAUUGUUAAAUAUUUUGGAUAGCACCUAAACAGUACCUCUUUGCAAUUCCUUGAGCCCUGGCUCAUGUGCAACAAGGCAGACCUGCAUACAGAAAGUGAACCGAGGAAAUCCUGGUCCAGUUUCUGGAAGCUCUGCCUCUGAGAUAAUGCUGGUAGGCAAGGAACAGGCUCUCCUGAGCAUGCAGAUGUCAGCCCUCAGCCUCAUACUGAAGAAGCGGAGCAAGGCCUACAGAGGUGCCUAAGUCAGCACCCCGCAUAGCAGAAACUCAAUACAUACAUGGAUGACUGGAUAGUCAGAUGGAUGCAUGGAUGGAUGGAUGAGUGAGAGUGAGCAUAAUAAUCAUGUCUUUUUUCCCCCUGACUUUCUGAUGCUUUGACAUCUGGGGUUUUGCUGGCCCUGAAAAGUCUGCAGCUCCCAAGGCUAGUAAACUCUGAGAUGGUAUGAGUUUCAUAUGCAAACCAACCAGUCCCUCAUUCCACCCAUCCCCUUACCGUGCCCCCCAGCUACCUCCUUUUUCAGGCUUUCACACUUUGGGUCACUACCUACUUUCCCUCCUCACCCCCAGGGCCAGAUACCAGAUUGUUAGGGUCAGUCCUUGCACCCCAGAGCACUGCUGAAAUCAUUCUAACUAGCAAAUCCUAAACCUGCUCAGCUUGCCUCAUCUGUUCCUUCCCUUGGAAACCACAGUAAAGACUCUCGCCCACAUUUUCCCCUCACUCCUGCCUCCUGAUCUACCCUGGUACUUCCCCACAUAGCCCCUUGUGGCAUGGCCUGCCCUCCUCUGGGGAACUGAAUGAUCUGAUCCACAAGUUUGCUCUAUGCUUUGAAAGAAGCAGCUUCCUCCUAGCAGAUUCUGGAUGUGUUGAGAGAAUGAUCCUCCACAGUGCCAAAGACCAGCAGUUAUAACACUCUACCUUUGAAUCAUGACGCUGCCUUUCACUGGCUAUGAGACCUCAGACACGGUGUAAUUACAGCAAACACGCAUUGGCGGUGAGCAGCAAUCAUGAGACAACUGUUGAGGAUUUCAGAUGCGCUUGGCGGUAGCUCCUGGAGCGCAGCGCGAGGAACCGCAGCUCCAGUUGGCCCGUGCUGGCCCGAAAACAAGGGAUUUGCAGAAGUCGGGAGCGGUGUGUUGGCACGGUGUCCACGCCAUGUCGUUCAUCAGCUAUUUCCUUGAUAGCGGGCUGCGUCUUACCACCAAGCCAACCGACUGACUCAUGAGUCAGUGACUUAAAAAAUAAAUAAAUACUUGAGGCCAGCUGUGCCCGCCGAGCAAAACCUGUCAGGCUGCAGACAAAGUGGGCCUCUGCCACUUUCCCGGGUGGUUUCAUUUUUCCUCUUUUUGUCUUCUUGUUUGAAAACUAUGAAAGUGAAACCACACACCUCCCCCUGAAAGCUGCUGUGUUCCCACGGCUGGAGGAGGUGGGUGGGGGCGAGUCUCCCACUAGCAUCAGCAUUGCCCUUCCACAGGCCCCAGGGUCCAGCCACGCGGCUGGAACCCAGGCCCUACUGUGCCUGGCUCUGAGCAAAGCCCUGCACAGGGAAGUGGCCAAAACCUGUUGUUAGGUGGCUACAGUACAUGGCCAAGAACCCACCCAGGUGUAACUAGAUUCAUCCUCCCAACAGAUGAUGAGGAAAAUAGUGAUAUGUGUGGAAAGCGUGUUAGUCGCUCAGUCACGUCCGACUCUUUAUGACCCAAUGGACUA
Molecule: long non-coding RNA, 1770 nt
Organism: Bubalus bubalis (water buffalo)
Lineage: Eukaryota; Metazoa; Chordata; Mammalia; Artiodactyla; Bovidae
Exons: 3
Source: RefSeq, a predicted model, not a curated record